GAGGGUAUAGCUCAGUGGUAGAGCACUGUGCUUAGCAUCCACAAGGCCCUGGGUUCAAUCCUCAGUACUCAUU
This 73-nucleotide transfer RNA is filed under the name Camelus bactrianus (Bactrian camel). It matches the Rfam family "tRNA". From Rfam's summary of the family: Transfer RNA (tRNA) molecules are approximately 80 nucleotides in length. Their secondary structure includes four short double-helical elements and three loops (D, anti-codon, and T loops). Lineage: Eukaryota; Metazoa; Chordata; Mammalia; Artiodactyla; Camelidae. RNAcentral also lists the same sequence under 2 other names. The record is from Rfam by way of RNAcentral.